AAUAUUUAAGAAAUGUAUAGCAACAGUUGACUGAAACUCAAAUGAAGUUGGUUAGAAGUUAAAUUGAAAGUUUUGAAUUCUACUCCAUAG
Caenorhabditis elegans is the source of this 90-nucleotide non-coding RNA. Lineage: Eukaryota; Metazoa; Nematoda; Chromadorea; Rhabditida; Rhabditidae. The record is from Ensembl.